This is a long non-coding RNA of Crotalus tigris (Tiger rattlesnake), 801 nucleotides long. RefSeq lists it as uncharacterized. NCBI's taxonomy places the organism in Eukaryota, Metazoa, Chordata, Lepidosauria, Squamata, Viperidae. The record is from RefSeq and is a predicted model, not a curated record. The transcript is spliced from 3 exons.
CGUAUGAGUGCCAUCAGAGAACAUGUUAAAUUCAGGCCAUGCAAUACAUGCAUGGUAAUAACUCUGUGAAAAGAGAGCAAGCAACAUCCUUAGCCCAGGAGAAAAGGAGGCCAACAAAUGCAAUACAACACCACAGCAACAGCACAGAGAAAGGAGGAAAUGCCUUGAUGAAUCAAGGAAGAUGAUGUAGUCUUAUAAUGAAAAUGAGGGAUGGAGACUAGGAGGAGCAACUGAAAAUAUACCACAAUCGGCCGCUAACCUAGAAAUGGAAAAGACCCACCACCUGCCAAAUAACUUUCUGUGUAAAGCGGAUCGACAGCAGCAGCUGUUGUCUUGGAUAACAGCAGUGUCUACCGCCUGACAGGUGACUAUUCCAACCAGGCAUGCCAGUUUCAGAAGAGCUAGCUGGCAGGAAAAAAGGUACGGAGCCAGGGAGGGAUAGCCAGUCCUUCCAGAAUUGCAGGUGACUGACAGCUGAUUUCUGUUAAAGGCUCUACUCCCUGCAGAGCCACAGGCCUGGCUGCUUUCACUGACUUCUCCACCUAUAUUACAAAAUGCAACCUUCCUCAGCAGGAGUUUGAUGGAAAAAAGGGGGGGGGAAGGGUCAGAGCUCCUGCUCCCCUUUGAUGAGCCCCGGCCAGCAAUCUGAACCAGAUGGAACUGUUUGGGAUACAAGCUUACCUUCAGAGCACAUGGAAUGAAGGCAGGUGUGAAAUUGUUAAUAUUUCACCAUCUCUGUUCCUUGAACAGCAGUGGGAGGAAAGGUUUGUUUUAGUGCAAGCUUCAGUACAAGCAGAUUUG